AACUUUAUAUCCAUAGGUCUCGACCAAAUCUUGUGCCAGCAGUCGCGGUAAGACAAGGGAGACGAGUGUUAUUCAUCUUUAACAGGUAUAUAGGGUACCUAGACGGUGUGCAAUGGCUUAAAUAAGUACCUGGUACACUUGAGUUUGAUAUGUGAGAGGAAUAUGUCGGAAUUGUUGGAGGAAAGAUGAAAUUUGUUAAUACCAAUAGGACUGAUAACGGCGAAGGCAAACCUCUAUGUACAUGUACUUGCUAUUUCUGUUUUUAUUAUAGCAAAAUAGCAAUGUACUAUAACUGACGUUGAGGGACGAAGGCUCAGAGAGUGAAGAGGAUUAGAUACCCCCGUAACCUGGGCAGACAAUGAUGAGUGCCAUAGGUUGGCUUUAAGGCGGAACUAUAAAUGAAAGUGGAAGC
Molecule: ribosomal RNA, 412 nt
Filed under: Alternaria sesami
Lineage: Eukaryota; Fungi; Ascomycota; Dothideomycetes; Pleosporales; Pleosporaceae
Description: SSU rRNA
Rfam family: Bacterial small subunit ribosomal RNA
Source: RNAcentral